CGGGACGGGUGAGUAAUGUCUGGGAAAACUGCCUGAUGGAGGGGGAUAACUACUGGAAACGGUAGCUAAUACCGCAUAACGUCGCAAGACCAAAGAGGGGGACCUUCGGGCCUCUUGCCAUCGGAUGUGCCCAGAUGGGAUUAGCUAGUAGGUGGGGUAACGGCUCACCUAGGCGACGAUCCCUAGCUGGUCUGAGAGGAUGACCAGCCACACUGGAACUGAGACACGGUCCAG
This 234-nucleotide ribosomal RNA is filed under the name uncultured bacterium. Its description in RNAcentral is "partial 16S ribosomal RNA". It matches the Rfam family "Bacterial small subunit ribosomal RNA", at positions 100 to 334 of the family's 1533-position model. The record is from RNAcentral.